GAUGAAGAACGCAGUGAAAUGCGAUACGUAAUGUGAAUUGCAGAAUUCAGUGAAUCAUCGAGUCUUUGAACGCACAUUGCGCCCCCUGGUAUUCCGGGGGGCAUGCCUGUCCGAGCGUCAUUGCUGCCCUCAAGCACGGCUUGUGUGUUGGGCCUCCGUCCUCCUCCCGGGGGACGGGCCCGAAAGGCAGCGGCGGCACCGCGUCCGGUCCUCGAGCGUAUGGGGCUUCGUCACCCGCUCUUGUAGGCCCGGCCGGCGCUUGCCGACACAUCAAUCUUUUUUCCAGGUUGACCUCGGAUCAGGUAGGGAUACCCGCUGAACUUAAGCAUAUCAAUAAGCGAGGA
This 344-nucleotide unclassified non-coding RNA is filed under the name soil metagenome. RNAcentral describes it as "partial contains 5.8S ribosomal RNA, internal transcribed spacer 2, and large subunit ribosomal RNA". The stretch from base 1 to 120 matches the Rfam family "5.8S ribosomal RNA", at positions 35 to 154 of the family's 154-position model. The record is from RNAcentral.